AAACCAACAGGGAUUGCCCCAGUAACGGCGAGUGAAGCGGCAAAAGCUCAAAUUUGAAAUCCUGCGGGAAUUGUAAUUUGAAGGUUUCGUGGUCUGAGUCGGCCGCGCCCAAGUCCAUUGGAACAUGGCGCCUGGGAGGGUGAGAGCCCCGUAUGGCGCACGCCGACUCUUUGCACCGCGGCUCCGACGAGUCGAGUUGUUUGGGAAUGCAGCUCUAAGUGGGUGGUAAAUUCCAUCUAAAGCUAAAUAUUGGCGAGAGACCGAUAGCGAACAAGUACAGUGAUGGAAAGAUGAAAAGCACUUUGAAAAGAGAGUGAAACAGCACGUGAAAUUGUUGAAAGGGAAGGGCUUGCAAGCAGACACGGUUUUACCGGGCCAGCGUCGAAAAGGGGGGAGGAACAAGAACUCGAGAAUGUGGCGCGCGCCUUCGGGCGCGCGUGUUAUAGCUCGUGUUGACGCCUCCAUCCCUUUUCGAGGCCUGCGAUUCUAGGACGCUGGCGUAAUGGUUGCAAGCCGC
This 517-nucleotide ribosomal RNA is filed under the name Clavispora lusitaniae. RNAcentral's name for it is "eukaryotic LSU rRNA". It matches the Rfam family "Eukaryotic large subunit ribosomal RNA", at positions 62 to 648 of the family's 3401-position model. The record is from RNAcentral. Lineage: Eukaryota; Fungi; Ascomycota; Pichiomycetes; Serinales; Metschnikowiaceae.